Molecule: ribosomal RNA, 468 nt
Filed under: uncultured bacterium
Lineage: Bacteria
Description: partial 16S ribosomal RNA
Rfam family: Bacterial small subunit ribosomal RNA
Source: RNAcentral
GACGAACGCUGGCGGCGUGCUUAACACAUGCAAGUCGAACGGAAAGGCCCUGCUUUUGUGGGGUGCUCGAGUGGCGAACGGGUGAGUAACACGUGAGUAACCUGCCCUUGACUUUGGGAUAACUUCAGGAAACUGGGGCUAAUACCGGAUAGGUGCUCCGGCUGCAUGGUGGGGGUUGGAAAGUUGCGGCGGUUGGGGAUGGACUCGCGGCUGAGCAGCUUGUUGGUGGGGUAGUGGAUUACCAAGGCUUUGACGGGUAGCCGGCCUGAGAGGGUGACCGGCCAACUGGCGACAGAGCUACGGCACAGAGUCGUACGGGAGGCAGCAGUGGGGAAGAUUGCACGAUGGGCGGAAGCCGGAUGAAGCAUCGACGCGUGCGGGAUGUCGGCCUCCGGGGUGAAAGCCGCAGUCGCGUGCGACGAAGCGUGAGUGACGGUAACGGGUAAAGAAGCACCGGCUAACUACGUG